CUUCUCCUGCCUGGGAUUUCUGUGAGAAGCAGCUCUGGUCUUCUGUUCUCUACCCCAUUUCCUUCAUUACUGCAGCUGCUGGUAGACCUAGAAAAGUGGGAAAAGUUUCUCUCUUCGUGUUCUCCUGGGCUGGAUCAGUGCUGUGGGACGACGAACUACUGCGAUCUUGUGGUGUAAAGGAUAUAUUCCUGGGUUCGUGUUGCUGACAGGAGGCAGCAGGGACCCCAGUCAGCCUCAGGUGGGAGCAGCAGAGCGAUGGCACAGGGACACCUCCAUCCUCGAAUCCCUCCUCCCCACUCUGGACCUAGAUUCUAGCGAAGCCCCUGCUCUGGAAGCAUCCCUCGACACAGGUAGGGAUGAGAUCCCGAAACCAAGGUGGAGAAAGCUCGUCUAACGGGCACUUCUCUAGUUCCAAGCCUGUCAUCAGCCAUGCAGAGAACGAAAAACUUCAGGAGGAUGCCAAGAAAAAGAACAAACCUCAUCAGAAGGAAGAUGAGGUCAUGGUUUCAGCAACUGUCAAACGGCACUCAAAAUCACCUGGACCUACUGAACGAAAGAACAAGAAGUCCAUAGAGCUUUCUAAAGAGGACUUGAUAAAACUCCUCAGUAUAAUGGAAGGAGAACUGCAGG
Molecule: non-coding RNA, 630 nt
Organism: Leptosomus discolor (cuckoo roller)
Lineage: Eukaryota; Metazoa; Chordata; Aves; Leptosomiformes; Leptosomidae
Source: RefSeq, a predicted model, not a curated record